RNAcentral lists this ribosomal RNA (900 nucleotides) under Serratia sp. (in: enterobacteria). RNAcentral's name for it is "bacterial SSU rRNA". It matches the Rfam family "Bacterial small subunit ribosomal RNA", at positions 66 to 960 of the family's 1533-position model. Lineage: Bacteria; Pseudomonadati; Pseudomonadota; Gammaproteobacteria; Enterobacterales; Yersiniaceae. The record is from RNAcentral.
GUAGCACGGGGGAGCUUGCUCCCUGGGUGACGAGCGGCGGCCUGGUGAGUAAUGUCUGGGAAACUGCCUGAUGGAGGGGGAUCACUACUGGAAACGGUAGCUAAUACCGCAUAACGUCGCAAGACCAAAGUGGGGGACCUUCGGGCCUCACGCCAUCAGAUGUGCCCAGAUGGGAUUAGCUAGUAGGUGGGGUAAUGGCUCACCUAGGCGACGAUCCCUAGCUGGUCUGAGAGGAUGACCAGCCACACUGGAACUGAGACACGGUCCAGACUCCUACGGGAGGCAGCAGUGGGGAAUAUUGCACAAUGGGCGCAAGCCUGAUGCAGCCAUGCCGCGUGUGUGAAGAAGGCCUUCGGGUUGUAAAGCACUUUCAGCGAGGAGGAAGGGUGGUGUCUUAAUACGGCAUCACAUUGACGUUACUCGCAGAAGAAGCACCGGCUAACUCCGCGCCCGCAGCCGCGGUAAUACGGAGGGUGCAAGCGUUAAUCGGAAUUACUGGGCGUAAAGCGCACGCAGGCGGUUUGUUAAGCCAGAUGUGAACUCCCCGGGCUCAACCUGGGAACUGCAUUUGAGACUGGCUAGCUAGAUUCUCGUAGAGGGGGGUAGAUUUCCGGGUGUAGCGGCGAAAUGCGUAAGAGACUGGAGGAAUACCGGUGGCGACGGCCGCCCCUUGGCAAAAGACUGACUCUCAGGUGCCAAAGCGGGGGGAGCCACAGGAUUAGAUCCCUGUUAGUCCAUUUUAUAAACGAUUUCUAUUUGCAUCUCUCCCCUUCAAGUGUGUCUUUCGGAUUUUAACCUUUAAACCCCCCCUUGGGGGAGUACUGCCCUCAGGCUAACACUCUAAUGAAUUGACGCGCGCCCACUCAAACGGUUCGCCAUGUUGUUUAUAUUAGUCGCCAC